CUUUCCAGCUGCUCUACACCAGACGGGGUUAUCCUGGUCGAGAUGUCUGCGGACAUCAACCUGCCUAUAUUCUAUAAAAUUUAAAUUGUUUUCAAAUGGGCAUAUUUUCAAAAGAAUACCUUUUCUUUAAUUAGCUUUCAUAAAUGUAUUCACUUUAAUGUCAGGUUUUCAUGAUAGCAUGUUGGUUAUGAUAGUCCUGUAUUUUCAAGUUGUUCACAAUAACAGCAUGUUUGAGUUAUUCAUGGUAGCUCAGUAGGUUUCGAGCAUUAGUGGUAUAAUCAGUAUUUCUGAUUGAUGCAUGACACCAUGAUAUUUUUGAGGACGUUGUGCAUCCUGUGCUGAGAUUUGCAGAUUGCAGCCUAUUUUCAGUCAAUUGCACGUUCAUCGCUGUUUUCUCAUUGCAUCAUUUGAAACACUUUGUUUUUGUUUUUCUAUUUUUUGGUCAGGUUUUCUAAGAGGAACACACACACACACACACACACACACACACACACACACCAUACAUGCAAUUACUAAUUGCAAAAUUUUCAGGAAGUUAGUCCAAAUCAGUUGAUUGUCAUUAAACAAACUCAUUACAGAGAACUGAUGAUUUCAGAUGAUGCCAGGCCAUGAAUUUAAGUAACCAUUUUGUACCAGACUGUGACUGACCUCAAACUUUUUCCCAGGGAAAAUUAUGCCACACUCUGUUUGCAAGUGUCCAUCUGCAGUGUUUAGGCUGUUUGAUGGUGUGGGCCCUUGGUGCAGUACCAAGUUAAGGGUAGGUCCUCAGUGUGGCUCCUCAAUGUAGUACGAGGAUCUCUAUCUAAGUGUGUGGAUAAUCAGAACAGUACUAGAAUGUCUGUUUCAUGGUGUGGGUCUUCAGUGUAGUACCAGGCUGUCUGUUGGAGGGUGUGGGUACUCAUUGUAGUAUCAGGCUGUCCGUUGGAGGAUCUGGGUACUCAUUAUGGUACCAGGCUGUCCGGUGGAGGAUCUGGGUACUCAUUGUAGUACAAGGCUGUCCGUUGCAGGGUGUGGAUACUCAUUGUAGUACCAGGCUGUCCGUUGAAGGAUCUGGGUACUCAUUGUAGUACCAGGCUGUCCGUUGCAGGGUGUGGGUACUCAUUGUAGUACCAGGUUAUCUGUUGCAGGGUGUGCGUACUCAUUGUAAUACCAGGCUAUCUAUUGGAGGGUAUGGGUACGCAGUGUAGUACUAGGCUGUCCGUUGGAGGGUGUGGAUACUCAUUGUAGUACCAUGCUGUCCAUUAGUGGAUCUGGGUACCCACUGUAGUACCAGGCUGUCCGUUGGAGGGUGUGGGUACUCAUUGUAGUACCAGGCUGUCCGUUGGAGGGUGUGGGUACUCAUUGUAGUACCAGGCUAUCCGUUGGAGGGUGUGGGUACUCAUUGUAGUACCAGGCUGUCCGUUGGAGGAUGUGGGUACUCAUUGUAGUACCAGGCUGUCCGUUGGAG
Molecule: long non-coding RNA, 1447 nt
Organism: Brienomyrus brachyistius
Lineage: Eukaryota; Metazoa; Chordata; Actinopteri; Osteoglossiformes; Mormyridae
Exons: 3
Source: RefSeq, a predicted model, not a curated record